AUCUAUGGGUGAAACUAUGGACAGGACGGUUUUGCAUCAAAAUUUAUUAUAGAUAUUUUAAAUAAAUUGCAAUAUACAUACAAGCAUGAUUAUGAAAAAUUGUGGGUUAGGCAACUUUUGCGCUGACGGCCUCAAUUGUCCUUGCAUUUGAAAUCAACAGAAUAUGUUAUUAAAAGGAAUAUCAUCUAGUUUAAAACUUAAGCUUAAGUUCAAAAAUGAUUAAUAAAUUUCAAUGCUCACCUAGUCUAUGCGAGAGUCCAAUGGUCUUAUUUUCCGGGUCGUAGAAGAAUUCGAGAUGAUAAAGCGGGAAGAAAAUAAAUAGAAGAGAUUUUCCUCACUAAUUAGUUAAUAGAUAGUAGAUAUAGACAUAAUAAUAUUGUUUUUAAUUUGAAUUUUCAAAAUAUAUAAGUAUAUAAAAAUUAAAUAAACUCAUUCUUGACUGUA
Long non-coding RNA from Bombyx mori (domestic silkworm), 444 nucleotides. RefSeq lists it as uncharacterized. The transcript has 2 exons. The record is from RefSeq and is a predicted model, not a curated record. NCBI's taxonomy places the organism in Eukaryota, Metazoa, Arthropoda, Insecta, Lepidoptera, Bombycidae.